UAUUCUUACCAUCUGUUUAUAUCAUUAUUUGUACCACUUCUCUAAUAGAGAUGAAACCUACGUAUGUUUGUGUGUUAUACUUCCGUUAGAGAAAUUGUAUAAAUGAUGGUACAAAUAAAUAGUAAGUGUAGCACUGCUCAUAAAAAAAAGUUUUAUGAAAACCUAUAACCCAUAAUUGUAAAACAAGUAUAUAGUUUCUCAAAGUAAUAAGAUAAUUAAUAAUAGGUAGUUGGGAACCAGCAUCACAAAUGAGUUAAAGAAUAUAGGGAGUUACUACGAAAUAUCUCAAAUUACUAUCACAGAAAAAUUCAUGCUCAUUACCAAAUGAAG
RNAcentral lists this long non-coding RNA (330 nucleotides) under Malus domestica (apple). Its description in RNAcentral is "long non-coding RNA (MDOM_LNC009965)". Lineage: Eukaryota; Viridiplantae; Streptophyta; Magnoliopsida; Rosales; Rosaceae. The record is from RNAcentral.